This 484-nucleotide ribosomal RNA is filed under the name uncultured bacterium. Its description in RNAcentral is "partial 16S ribosomal RNA". It matches the Rfam family "Bacterial small subunit ribosomal RNA", at positions 30 to 507 of the family's 1533-position model. The record is from RNAcentral.
AUUGAACGCUGGCGGCAGGCCUAACACAUGCAAGUCGAGCGGAUGAAGGGAGCUUGCUCCUGGAUUCAGCUGCGGACGGGUGAGUAAUGCCUAGGAAUCUGCCUGGUAGUGGGGGAUAACGUCCGUAAACGGGCGCUAAUACCGCAUACGUCCUGAGGUAGAAAGUGGGGGAUCUUCGGACCUCACGCUACCAGAUGAGCCUAGGUCGGAUUAGCUAGUUGGUUGGGUAAAGGCCUACCAAGGCGACGAUCCGUAACUGGUCUGAGAGGAUGAUCAGUCACACUGGAACUGAGACACGGUCCAGACUCCUACGGGAGGCAGCAGUGGGGAAUAUUGGACAAUGGGCGAAAGCCUGAUGCAGCCAUGCCGCGUGUGUGAUGAAGGUCUUCGGAUCGUAAAGCACUUUAAGUUGGGAGGAAGGGCAGUAAGUUAAUACCUUGAUGUUUUGACGUUACCUAAAGAAUAAGCCCCGGCUAACUUCGUG